AUUGAACGCUGGCGGCGUGCCUAACACAUGCAAGUCGAGCGGUAACAGGUGUAGCAAUACAUGCUGACGAGCGGCGGACAGGUGAGUAACGCUUGGGAAUCUGCCUGAUAGUGGGGGACAACCCGGGGGAAACUCGGGCUAAUACCGCAUACGCACUACGGUGGAAAGCCGGGGACCGCAAGGCCUGGCGCUAUCAGAUGAGCCCAAGUCGGAUUAGCUAGNGGUAGGGUAACGGCCUACCAAGGCGACGAUCCGUAACUGGUCUGAGAGGACGACCAGUCACACCGGAACUGAGACACGGUCCGGACUCCUACGGGAGGCAGCAGUGGGGAAUAUUGGACAAUGGGCGAAGCCUGAUCCAGCGACGCCGCGUGGGUGAAGAAGG
Molecule: ribosomal RNA, 385 nt
Filed under: uncultured bacterium
Lineage: Bacteria
Description: bacterial SSU rRNA
Rfam family: Bacterial small subunit ribosomal RNA
Source: RNAcentral